GGAUGAAUAUUGCGCAAUGGACGAAAGUCUGACGCAGCCAUGCCGCGUGAAGGAUUGAAGGCCCUACGGGUUGUAAACUUCUUUUGUACGGGAAAAAACGCUCCUACGUGUAGGAGCCUGAUGGUACCGUAAGAAUAAGCACCGGCUAACUCCGUGCCAGCAGCCGCGGUAAUACGGAGGGUGCAAGCGUUAUCCGGAUUUAUUGGGUUUAAAGGGUCCGUAGGCGGACUAUUAAGUCAGUGGUGAAAGC
Molecule: ribosomal RNA, 250 nt
Filed under: uncultured bacterium
Lineage: Bacteria
Description: partial 16S ribosomal RNA
Rfam family: Bacterial small subunit ribosomal RNA
Source: RNAcentral